AGCGGGGUAGAGGAAUUGGUCAACUCAUCAGGCUCAUGACCUGAAGACUGCAGGUUCGAAUCCCGUCCCCGCCU
This 74-nucleotide transfer RNA is filed under the name Triticum aestivum (bread wheat). It matches the Rfam family "tRNA". Rfam says of the family: Transfer RNA (tRNA) molecules are approximately 80 nucleotides in length. RNAcentral also lists the same sequence under 1 other name. The record is from Rfam by way of RNAcentral. Lineage: Eukaryota; Viridiplantae; Streptophyta; Magnoliopsida; Poales; Poaceae.